AGGGAUUAUAACAUAUCUCCUCCAGUCAUUCUGGUCUGCCCUAAAUUAGAGUCUUGCCACUUCCUGGACAAUGAGGAACCAUAGAGCACUGUAACACCAUUAAACAUUUUUCCUGGAUAGACGCAUCAUCCCUGUCACAUCAUCUAAUUCUACAGAUACGGGCAAUUCCUUGGAGGACCUCAACUGAAAGACUUGCAUAUUUUCCAGAACUCCUGUUUGUUGAGUCUUAAACCCUAAUUUUUGUUGUUACGGCAUCAUGAUAUUGAUGAAAACUGCUUGGUUUCUUAGCUUUUGGGGGCCCACUUUCAGCUCGGCUUCUGAGCAUCUCAUUCUGGAUCAGCAAACACUGAUACAGAAAUUCAGACUCACUGUCAGGGGUCCCAUUUUCUCUGACAUCUCUGUCCCUCAAACCCUGGCUUUCUUGUCAGCUUGAAUGUCAACUUUCGUCUCCCCAGAUCUGUGAACUUGGCAUACAACUCUGAGCCACUGCUUUCUGCUUUCUCAACCCCUCUGCACUUACAAAUUGGCUACUAGCUCAAGGAGAUUCAAGGCUACUAGCUUCAAGGAGAAUGUAGGGCUUACCUCGUUGCAGUUCGCUUUUCCAUGGGAUCGUGGACCCUCAAGUCCUGGCAGCCUGGGUUGCUUUCUGAUGCCUUCAAACAACUCCUAAAUGCCUACCAGCACCAAGCAGGAAAUGAUAAAAAGAGGCUGAUGAGUUUCGGGUGUGGUUCAGCCUGGGAAGCCUCCUUAUUCACAGGAAGCCAGUCCUCGGCUUACACAGCAUCAGGGGAUCAACCACCACACCGUGAUCUAAACUGAGGCCCGCAGAAGUUGGAACAAUGUUAAAAUGAAAGCUUAAAUCAGCCCCAAUUAAAAGAUGAUAUGUCAUUUAAAUCACAAGGAUGUUCUCUAUGAGGCCUUAGAGCUGAAGUCCUUGCACAGCCGACUCUGGCACCCAUCAGCACAUCUCAGACCUUUUCUAGGUUUGGUCCCUGCAUUCAUCAGGACUUUAGAUUACAGGUGGCAGAAAUCAAAUCAAAUGGCUCAAAUAAAAUGGACAAUUGCUAGUUCAUCAUAUCUUUUUAAAACUCCAAAUAUAGACUUUCAGGUAUGGUUAACUUCAGGUUCUAGGUCUAGGCAGCCUUCUUCCCCAUCUUUAGGUCUGCCUUCCCCUCUGUGGGCUCCAUUCUUG
This 1192-nucleotide long non-coding RNA is filed under the name Homo sapiens (human). RNAcentral describes it as "HSALNT0401407". The record is from RNAcentral. Lineage: Eukaryota; Metazoa; Chordata; Mammalia; Primates; Hominidae.